RNAcentral lists this unclassified non-coding RNA (273 nucleotides) under Hevea brasiliensis (rubber tree). The record is from RNAcentral. Lineage: Eukaryota; Viridiplantae; Streptophyta; Magnoliopsida; Malpighiales; Euphorbiaceae.
CAACUAAUGCCCAAAUCUUAUCAUCUCAUAGCCCUUUUCCCCUUUCUGUUUACAGGAACAUCUAAGACUACAUUGGCAGACCCACUAUAACCUUUUCUAUUUUCUGCUUUAUUAUCUUCUUUUGGGGACCAAGAAGCACAUUUUGGAUGGUCCUGAUCAUAACUGGGUGGGGACAUGUGGGUCCAUCACUCCUUGACCAUUACAACGAGGGGCCCUUCUUGUGAGCUGCUGCCAGCAAAUCCUGAAGCAUGGCUUGCAGGGGCUAUCACAAAU